UUUUACUGUUGUAACAUGUUUAUCAAUUUUCUUGAGGUUUGAACAUAAGAAAUACAUUGUAUUAUUUCCUUGUCAUGUAAAUACUUCCCAAUUUUAGAAUUAUUGGUUGACCUGUAUUUUCAUUACUUUUCUGUGUUUUCUGCUAAAUAAGAAAUAAAUUUAUGUUCUUUUAACAGGGCUUUGAUACAGGUAGACUGCAUUCUCAGUGAGACACUGUUUGUAAGCAUAGGGUUUCGUAAUAAAGAACUUGAGAGGUCUUUAAGGCUCAGCUGUGUUUUUUCACAGAUAUUUGAGGAAAGGGAGAAAAGCUAAAAAGAACUGAACUGCUGACAUAGAAAUGUUCUCUUUGUAAUCUUAUUUAAAACAUUUUUUUUAGUAGCUGAGAUUUGCAGAAGUUUUUGUAUUUACUCAGUUUCUGUUGAAGAUGACGAUAGAACUUCAGGCCUGCUGUGCGAAGAGAGUUAGACAAACAAUUAGAGGGUGGCUAAUAUACCGCAUCUGAAAAUAUAAGCUCCCAUGCUUUAAUCCCAGUAUUCACAAAAGCCAUAUUUGCUGCACAAGUUCUUAAAAAUGAUUGUUGAAGAAGGCAAUGGUCCCUCCCAGCUGCAAAAGAAAUUUGGAAGUGAUACUCGUCAUUGUUAAGGAGAUUUUAGUAAAUCAGAUGUUUCAGUUUCAUACACUUUUUUUUGAAUUUAUUUUUGCUUGCAUGAGGUAAGUGAAUGAAAAAUUGCAUGUAUCAUGUAAACCUUAA
Falco peregrinus (peregrine falcon) is the source of this 751-nucleotide long non-coding RNA. RefSeq lists it as uncharacterized. NCBI's taxonomy places the organism in Eukaryota, Metazoa, Chordata, Aves, Falconiformes, Falconidae. The transcript has 3 exons. The record is from RefSeq and is a predicted model, not a curated record.